Molecule: RNA transcript, 1672 nt
Organism: Magnolia sinica
Lineage: Eukaryota; Viridiplantae; Streptophyta; Magnoliopsida; Magnoliales; Magnoliaceae
Gene name: probable leucine-rich repeat receptor-like protein kinase At1g35710
Exons: 2
Source: RefSeq, a predicted model, not a curated record
CGAGCAUGAGUGAGAAUUAUUUGAAUGGAAGCAUUCCGUUUCAGAUUGGUAAUCUAAGAGGCCUACAGAUUACCUUGGAUCUCAGCUGUAACUUACUUUUGGGAGAGAGAACCCAACAACUUGGGAAACUGCAAAUGUUGGAAAAGCUAAAUCUCUCCCACAAUUCACUCUCUGGUUCCAUCCCGUCGUCUUUCAAAGAGAUGAUCUGUUUAUAUUCCAUCGACUUUUCUUACAAUGAUUUGGAGGGCCCUCCCCCCGACGGCAAAGCCUUCCAUCUGGCUCUGUUGGAAGCAUUCGUUGAAAACAAAGGUCUAUGCGGUGAAGUAAAAGGUAUGCUACCAUGUAAUUCCUCUUCGAUAAACCCUGUUGGUGGUAGGAAAGACCCCAAGCUUGUGAUCAUCGUCGUUAUUCCUAUUGUGGCAACAUUAUUUCUUCGAUUUGUAUUUGCCAUCAUUUGCUCCAUUUUUCUUAAGAGAACAAGAAAUGCAGAGAUUAGGGAUGUAGAAGUGAACAAUGGAAAUCUAGUUGCAAUAUGCAAUUUUGAUGGAAAGAUUGCAUAUGAAGACGUCAUCAGGGCAACAGAGGAUUUCAGCGAUAAAUAUUGCAUUGGGGUGGGAGGCCACGGGAGAGUUUAUAAAGCAGAUCUGCCCACAGGUCAAGUAGUAGCAGUUAAAAAAACUUCAUUCGUCCCAGGGUGGUGAGCAAGUUGAUCAAAGAAGCUUUAGAAAUGAGAUACAAGCACUAACAGAAAUUCGACAUCGCAACAGCGUGAAGUUCUAUGGUUUUUGUUCGCAUGUUCGGUGCUCAUUUCUAGCGUACGAGUAUAUGGAGAGGGGAAGCUUGGCUGGCAUCCUCAGCAACAGUGAAGGAGCUGUAGAAUUGGAUUGGGUGAAGAGAAUGAAGGUUAUUAGAGGAGUAGCCCAUGCAUUAUCAUACAUGCACCAUGAUCGCACCCCUUCUAUAGUUCAUCAGGACUUAUUGAGCAACAACGUUUUGUUGGAUUUGGAAUUGGAGGCCUGUAUCUCUGACUUUGGCACUGCUAGAAUCCUAAAACCUGAUUCAUCGAACUGGUCUGCACUUGUGGGUACUUACGGAUAUGUCGCUCCAGAGCUUGCAUACACAAUGAGGGUGACUGAGAAAUGUGAUGUAUAUAGCUUUGGUGUUGUAUCACUUGAACUUGUAAUGGGAAGACAUCCCGGGGAUUUCUUCACAUCCUUGGCAUCAUCGGGUGGCCAAGAUACAUUGUUGAUGGAUGUGUUAGACCAACUCCUCCUGCCUCCCACAGCCCAAGGCAUAAAGGAUGUGGUUUGUGCGGCAAUGUUGGCACUAGCAUGCUUAUGUGCCAAUCCUCACUCUCGUCCCACUAUGCAGCAAGUGUCGCAGGACCUAUCUGCAGGCAGAGUUCCUCUUCCUGAUGCUGUCCACACAAUUACAUUGUCUCAACUGUCAGAUAUCCAGGUAUGAUUGAUUAAAUAGAAGGAGAUGAUGGUGCAGAAACAGAAAAAUUGAAAUAUUGUAGAGUCAUUUCUCCACAAUACGUGGCAAGGAGAUUUAUCAUCAGAACUAUCCAUCUAGUGGGCAGUAUAUCAUGGAUGGCUUAUGUUUAAGAAAUCAUACCAAGCUUAUGUUUAAAGAUAGAUAAAUACACUUACUUAGUGAGUGCAUCGGCCUA